This is a non-coding RNA of Marchantia polymorpha subsp. ruderalis, 149 nucleotides long. NCBI's taxonomy places the organism in Eukaryota, Viridiplantae, Streptophyta, Marchantiopsida, Marchantiales, Marchantiaceae. The record is from the annotation of a GenBank genome assembly.
UCAGUGCGCUCUUGACGUUUUGUGUGGAGAGAGGGGAGCAGAGAUUGAGUAUGCAGAAGAGCUGAAUUUACUGCAUCUACCACCGGCUAACUAGCGCUGAAAAUUCAUUCUCUGCCUCGCUCUCUCAACCCAAACCUUCCGGAGAUUGG